This 627-nucleotide long non-coding RNA is filed under the name Nicotiana benthamiana. RNAcentral describes it as "long non-coding RNA (NBEN_LNC010339)". Lineage: Eukaryota; Viridiplantae; Streptophyta; Magnoliopsida; Solanales; Solanaceae. The record is from RNAcentral.
AAAUGUUAAGUAUAGUCUACAAUUCUGAUACCAACUAUGAGUAUUCUACUCAACUUUGUUAAUACGAUGAUUGUAAAUGAUAAAUUUUAGUUAUCUCAUUUCGUAAGACCCCAAGAUUUUGUAGUUAUUUUAGUUUUUUCUGUUAUUAUAAAAUAUAUCCCUAGGUGUUUUCCUAGCGGAUUGUCAAAAAAUAAAAUUUGAAUAAGGUAUUAGGUUGUAUUGUUACUUUUGGUUGGGCCCGAGGGCCUCGGGAUGAUUUCAGCUGGUCGACGGGAAGAAUUUCUAAAGUGUGCAGUAGCAGAUCUUUAGCGGAACCACAGAAGCGGCAUGGCGCACUGCAGAAGUAAGUGUGGAACCCUCGUCAGAGACCGUAGAAGGGGUGUGGCCUCCGUAAAUGUGGAACCGCAUAAGCGGUUUUUUUGUCCGCAGACGCGGAAAACGAGGUUUAAUGAGAAAUCGCAGAAGCGGCUCGAAGUCUGCAUAUGCGGGACUGCUGAAGCGGUGCCUUAUCCCCAGAAGCGGAAAUGCCUGUUCUGAAAUAGUAGGAUCCCACUGUUUAAUUUAAAAGUUGGAGAAAUCAAAAUUUAGCUCGAGAUAAGGCGAUUUUAGGCGGAUUUUAAAGAGGAG